This 230-nucleotide ribosomal RNA is filed under the name uncultured bacterium. RNAcentral describes it as "partial 16S ribosomal RNA". It matches the Rfam family "Bacterial small subunit ribosomal RNA", at positions 562 to 791 of the family's 1533-position model. The record is from RNAcentral.
AAAGGGUCCGUAGGCGGUUUAAUAAGUCAGUGGUGAAAGCCCAUCGCUCAACGGUGGAACGGCCAUUGAUACUGUUAAACUUGAAUUAUUAGGAAGUAACUAGAAUAUGUAGUGUAGCGGUGAAAUGCUUAGAGAUUACAUGGAAUACCAAUUGCGAAGGCAGGUUACUACUAAUGGAUUGACGCUGAUGGACGAAAGCGUGGGUAGCGAACAGGAUUAGAUACCCUGGU